RNAcentral lists this ribosomal RNA (240 nucleotides) under uncultured bacterium. RNAcentral's name for it is "partial 16S ribosomal RNA". It matches the Rfam family "Bacterial small subunit ribosomal RNA", at positions 28 to 244 of the family's 1533-position model. The record is from RNAcentral.
GACGAACGCUGGCGGCGUGCCUAAUACAUGCAAGUCGAACGCUUUGCUUUUCACCGGAGCUUGCUCCACCGAAAAGCAAAGAGUGGCGGACGGGUGAGUAACACGUGGGCAACCUGCCCAACAGAGGGGGAUAACACUUGGAAACAGGUGCUAAUACCGCAUAAUUUGUUUUUCCCGCAUGGGAGAAUAAUAAAAGAACGCCUUACGGUGUCACUGUUGGAUGGGCCCGCGCUGCAUUAG